This 459-nucleotide ribosomal RNA is filed under the name uncultured bacterium. RNAcentral's name for it is "partial 16S ribosomal RNA". It matches the Rfam family "Bacterial small subunit ribosomal RNA", at positions 339 to 795 of the family's 1533-position model. The record is from RNAcentral.
CUACGGGAGGCAGCAGUGAGGAAUAUUGGUCAAUGGGCGAAAGCCUGAACCAGCCAUGCCGCGUGAAGGAUGACAGCCCUAUGGGUUGUAAACUUCUUUUGUACGGGAAGAAACACCUCUACGUGUAGAGGCUUGACGGUACCGUACGAAUAAGCAUCGGCUAACUCCGUGCCAGCAGCCGCGGUAAUACGGAGGAUGCAAGCGUUAUCCGGAUUUAUUGGGUUUAAAGGGUACGUAGGCGGGAAAUUAAGUCAGUAGUGAAAUCCUACAGCUUAACUGUAGAACUGUUAUUGAUACUGGUUUCCUUGAAUAUAGUUGAGGUAGGCGGAAUAAGUAAUGUAGCGGUGAAAUGCUUAGAUAUUACUUAGAACACCGAUUGCGAAGGCAGCUUACUAAGCUAUGAUUGACGCUGAGGUACGAAAGCGUGGGGAGCGAACAGGAUUAGAUACCCCCGUAGUC